This 1207-nucleotide ribosomal RNA is filed under the name metagenome. RNAcentral describes it as "bacterial SSU rRNA". It matches the Rfam family "Bacterial small subunit ribosomal RNA", at positions 300 to 1498 of the family's 1533-position model. The record is from RNAcentral.
UUGAUCAGCCACACUGGAAUUGAGACACGGUCCAGACUCCUACGGGAGGCAGCAGUAGGGAAUAUUGCGCAAUGGAGGAAACUCUGACGCAGCGACGCCGCGUGGGUGAUGAAGGCCUUCGGGUCGUAAAGCCCUGUCGGAAGGGAAGAAACACGGAAUGGCUAACAUCCAUUCCGCUUGACGGUACCUUUAAAGGAAGCACCGGCUAACUACGUGCCAGCAGCCGCGUAAUACGUAGGGUGCAAGCGUUGUUCGGAAUCAUUGGGCGUAAAGCGCGUGUAGGUUGUUUGUUAAGUCGGAUGUGAAAUCCCUGGGCUCAACCCAGGAAGGGCAUUCGAAACUAACUAGCUAGAAGAUGGUAGAGGAAGGUGGAAUUCCAAGUGUAGAGGUGAAAUUCGUAGAUAUUUGGAGGAAUACCAGCGGCGAAGGCGGCCUUCUGGACCAUUCUUGACACUGAGACGCGAAAGCGUGGGUAGCAAACAGGAUUAGAUACCCUGGUAGUCCACGCCGUAAACGAUGGGUACUAGGUGUUGCGGGAAUUGACCCCUGCAGUGCCGACGCUAACGCAUUAAGUACCCCGCCUGGGAAGUACGGCCGCAAGGUUAAAACUCAAAGGAAUUGACGGGGGGCCCGCACAAGUGGUGGAGCAUGUGGUUUAAUUCGAUGCAACGCGAAGAACCUUACCUGGGUUAGACAAUACAGGACAGCCGUAGAGAUACGGUUUCCCCUUCGGGGGCCUGUAGUUUAGGUGCUGCAUGGCUGUCGUCAGCUCGUAUCGUGAGAUGUCGGGUUAAGUCCCUUAACGAGCGCAACCCCUAUCCCUAGUUGCCAUCGUUCAGUUGGGCACUCUAUGGAGACUGCCGGUGUUAAACCGGAGGAAGGCGGGGAUGACGUCAAGUCCUCAUGGCCUUUAUGUCCAGGGCAACACACGUGCUACAAUGGCCGGUACAGAGGGUCGCCAACCCGCAAGGGGGAGCUAAUCUCAGAAAGCCGGUCUCAGUUCGGAUUGAAGUCUGCAACUCGACUUCAUGAAGCUGGAAUCGCUAGUAAUCGCGGAUCAGAACGCCGCGGUGAAUACGUUCCCGGGCCUUGUACACACCGCCCGUCACACCACGAAAGUCAACUGCACCAGAAGUCGCUGUCCCAACCGUAAGGGGGGAGGCGCCCAAGGUUUGGUUGAUGAUUGGGGUGAAGUCGUAACAAGGUA